AAAAGCUCAAAUUUGUAAUCUGAUACUUUCAGUAUCCGAGUUGUAAUCUCGAGAAGUAUUUUCCGCGUUGGACCGCACACAAGUCUGUUGGAAUACAGCGUCAUAGUGGUGAGAACCCCGUAUCUGGUGCGGAUGCCCAAUGCUUUGUGAUAUACUUUCGAAGAGUCGAGUUGUUUGGGAAUGCAGCUCAAAUUGGGUGGUAAAUUCCAUCUAAAGCUAAAUAUUGGCGAGAGACCGAUAGCGAACAAGUACCGUGAGGGAAAGAUGAAAAGCACUUUGGAAAGAGAGUUAACAGUACGUGAAAUUGUUGGAAGGGAAACGCUUGAAGUCAGACUUGCAUUUUGGAGUUCAACCUUUUAGGUGUAUUCUUCAAUUUCGCAGGCCAGCAUCAGUUUUUGAGAGUGGAAAAUCGUAAUUAGAAGGUAGCAGUUUCGGCUGUGUUAUAGCUUUUUACUGGAUUCACUUUUAGGGACUGAGGAACGCAGUACGCUUUUAGCAAGGUUUUCGAACCUUUCGUACUUAGGAUGCUGGUGGAAUGGCUUUAAACGACCCGUCUUGAAACA
Molecule: ribosomal RNA, 563 nt
Filed under: Ustilentyloma brefeldii
Lineage: Eukaryota; Fungi; Basidiomycota; Microbotryomycetes; Microbotryales; Ustilentylomataceae
Description: LSU rRNA
Rfam family: Eukaryotic large subunit ribosomal RNA
Source: RNAcentral